RNAcentral lists this ribosomal RNA (253 nucleotides) under uncultured bacterium. RNAcentral describes it as "partial 16S ribosomal RNA". It matches the Rfam family "Bacterial small subunit ribosomal RNA", at positions 524 to 776 of the family's 1533-position model. The record is from RNAcentral.
UACGAGGGGGGCAAGCGUUGUUCGGAAUUAUUGGGCGUAAAGGGCGCGUAGGCGGUGCGGUAAGUCACCUGUGAAAUCUCUGGGCUCAACUCAGAGUCUGCAGGCGAAACUGCCGUGCUAGAGUACGGAAGAGGCGAGUGGAAUUCCUGGUGUAGCGGUGGAAUGCGCAGAUAUCAGGAGGAACACCAAUUGCGAAGGCGGCUCUCUGGGACGGUACUGACGCUGAGACGCGAAAGCGUGGGGAGCGAACAGG